This 484-nucleotide ribosomal RNA is filed under the name uncultured bacterium. RNAcentral describes it as "partial 16S ribosomal RNA". It matches the Rfam family "Bacterial small subunit ribosomal RNA", at positions 30 to 507 of the family's 1533-position model. The record is from RNAcentral.
AUUGAACGCUGGCGGCAGGCCUAACACAUGCAAGUCGAGCGGAAGAAGGGUGCUUGCUCCUGGAUUCAGCGGGGGACGGGCGAGUAAUGCCUAGGAAUCUGCCUGGCAGCGGGGGAUAACGUCCGGAAACGGGCGCUAAUACCCCAUACGUCCUGACGGAGAAAGGGGGGGAUCUUCGGAUCUUCCGCCCUUAGAUGAGCCUAGGUCGGAUUAGCUAGUUGGUGGGGUAAAGGCCUACCAAGGCGACGAUCCGUAGCUGGUCUGAGAGGAUGAUCAGUCACACUGGAACUGAGACACGGUCCAGACUCCUACGGGAGGCAGCAGUGGGGAAUAUUGGACAAUGGGCGAAAGCCUGAUCCAGCCAUGCCGCGUGUGUGAAGAAGGUCUUCGGAUUGUAAAGCACUUUUGGUUGGAAGGAAGAGCAGUAAGUUAAUACCUUGCUGUUUUGACGUUACCAAAAGAAUAAGCACCGGCUAACUUCGUG